This 389-nucleotide unclassified non-coding RNA is filed under the name uncultured fungus. RNAcentral's name for it is "sequence contains ITS2". The stretch from base 1 to 154 matches the Rfam family "5.8S ribosomal RNA". Lineage: Eukaryota; Fungi. The record is from RNAcentral.
AACUUUCAACAACGGAUCACUUGGUUCUCGCAUCGAUGAAGAACGCAGCGAAAUGCGAUAAGUAGUGUGAAUUGCAGAAUUCAGUGAAUCAUCGAAUCUUUGAACGCACAUUGCGCCUCCUGGUAUUCCGGGAGGCAUGCCUGUUCGAGCGUCAUUAAAAUCACUCAAGCUUAGGUUUACCUAUUGCUUGGUCUUGGAGAUGGAAGCCAAUUUAUUGGAAUCCUCUUCGAAAUUCAAUGGCGAAGACCCUUGCUCUCCCAAGUGUAGUAAUAACUUAUGUCACUGAAGGAAGCGAGAAAUCUUCUGCCGUAACCCCCAUAUUUUCUAUGAUUGACCUCGGAUCAGGUAGGGAUACCCGCUGAACUUAAGCAUAUCAAUAAGCGGAGGCU